AAUUAACUACUUACACACACACACGAAGAGAGAAAGAGAGAGAUAGAACGAGUGAGUGAGGGAGAGAGAAAUGCACACCUCCUGUUCCUCCUCCUUCUCCUCCUCCUCCUCCUUCUGCUCGCCUCCCCGGGUUCAGGUUGGUAGUUGAGCUGCCUCUCCGGUCGCUGCCUCGGUGCGCCGUCAGAUUGGAUGCGCUUGGAUUGACUGUGCGCGAUUCAGCCGGUGAGAAGAUCACUUCCUGAAAAUAACAUACAAAUUUGAAGUGACGCUUCCGUGCAGUGAGACAGCGGCGCUUUCCCACGUCUCCUCCUUCUUCCUGGAUCGGAACAUCCGCAGCGGCGAACAGACUCCAGCCCAGGCCGGGAGACGGUGAUCAGGCUUCGGCCUCAGGUGCAUCUCUGAGGCGGGGCCACGCGGAAAGUCCAGAUGUGUAUCAGGGGUCUCGGGGUCGACAGAGGGGUCCCUCCACUGCUGUAACAUUUCUGUCUCUACUGAGAGAUGGUGGUCCCGAUAGCUCGGCCCGUCUGACAUGUACACAACGGUACAUAAAUCAAACGCACGCUCGCUCCAUUUAUCACCUGUUUGAGAAGCACAGAGAUAGCGGCCAACUCUGCAUACAGCCAGCGUGAGUCAGGUCUAGUUAAGUGGGGUAAGUAAUGUUUAGCUGAAAAGGGUUUACUCGUGUUCCUGCUAUCUCUAUUGUUCAGGGUUUCUUCCAGUGUUUGUGCCUCUUUUGUUUAAUAGUGUGCAGCUUGCUC
Molecule: long non-coding RNA, 758 nt
Organism: Girardinichthys multiradiatus
Lineage: Eukaryota; Metazoa; Chordata; Actinopteri; Cyprinodontiformes; Goodeidae
Exons: 3
Source: RefSeq, a predicted model, not a curated record